This 49-nucleotide transfer RNA is filed under the name Geoscapheus dilatatus. RNAcentral describes it as "partial tRNA-Ser". Lineage: Eukaryota; Metazoa; Arthropoda; Insecta; Blattodea; Blaberidae. The record is from RNAcentral.
AGUUAUUUAUCUGUCGAAAGAAUUAUGUUUUCAAAACAUAAUUCUUUCG